RNAcentral lists this ribosomal RNA (461 nucleotides) under uncultured bacterium. RNAcentral's name for it is "partial 16S ribosomal RNA". It matches the Rfam family "Bacterial small subunit ribosomal RNA", at positions 338 to 795 of the family's 1533-position model. The record is from RNAcentral.
CCUACGGGGGGCUGCAGUGAGGAAUAUUGGUCAAUGGGCGCAAGCCUGAACCAGCCAAGUCGCGUGAGGGAAGACGGUCCUAUGGAUUGUAAACCUCUUUUGUCGGGGAGCAAAGCGCGGUACGAGUGCCGUGAAGGAGAGUACCCGAAGAAAAAGCAUCGGCGAACUCCGUGCCAGCAGCCGCGGUAAUACGGAGGAUUCAAGCGUUAUCCGGAUUUAUUGGGUUUAAAGGGUGCGUAGGCGGUUCGAUAAGUUAGAGGUGAAAUCCCGGGGCUCAACUCCGGCACUGCCUCUGAUACUGUCGGGCUAGAGUUUAGUUGCGGUAGGCGGAAUGUAUGGUGUAGCGGUGAAAUGCAUAGAGAUCAUACAGAACACCGAUUGCGAAGGCAGCUUACCAAACUACGACUGACGUUGAGGCACGAAAGCGUGGGGAGCAAACAGGAUUAGAUACCCUUGUAGUC